GAAUAAAGUAUUAAUUACUAAGAUGUGCGAAGGUGGAAGUAUCUCGAAGGAAUAUGAUGAUAAAUGUGAUUCCAAGAGAUAACAAAUAAAAAAAAGGUCAUGUUCUAAACACUUAUUUUACAAUGCAAUGCUUUCCACUUAAAUCUGUAACUAUCGGGCGAAUGUAACAUUGGCAUUGAUAUCUAUACGCUUGAUUUGUUACUAGAUUGUAAGCUAUAAAACGAUAACAACAUAAGUAUUGCCUUUUUGUGCUUUAAUUUAUUGAUAUGUAUGUACAAAAGUAACAGCUUAUAAGAUUUUCAAGAAUUAAGUUUAUCUGAGCGAUCAUGUACCGAUAGUUAAGGAAAUAAUUUCGGUAAAAGCAAACUAAAACAUGUAUAGUUAUCCAGAAUUUUUUGUUUAAACAUUGAACCGUUACGUUAAUUUUGUCAUGUAAUGCUUUACAUGUUUGUAUUGGAAAAGAAAAAAUGAUUAGAACAUCCUUUUUUUUUUAAUAAUGAAUCAAAGGUGAUUAUGAUAUACGAUUAUUGUUUUUAAUGUUGUGGUAUAGAAAAUGAAAGUUGUGCGUAAAAUAAGUUAGUUACUUUGUUUCUCUUAUUCAUUCCUUCAGAGAGUACAGUUGUAAAAUGUGAUUUUCAGAAACGUCGAUUAAAACAGAACGAUCUUAUCGAAAAAAUUUGCAAGGUAGAUCAUGGCAGUAAAGAUUUUACACUGAUAAAGUUUUUUAUGCCGAAAAAUCGUUAACUCCGUUUUAAAAAAGUGAUUGUUUAAUACGUAGGUAUCUACUGCUUAUUUAAACUUUAUCGGUUUGUAUUUGACAUCAAUAAACGAAUGUAAAAACGUUAACAUUGUAUUACGUCUAUUUUCAAUAAUUUACGUAAUGGAAUUACAUUUGUAUUUUUAUAUUUUCGUCAUUCACAAUUAUUGUAAAUCUAUCAAAGCUAAUUGUAAGUCAAAUUGAAAUUUUCGAUAACGAGAAUUCAAAUUCGAUACAAUCGAAAUCAAUCGAUUUUUGAUUCCCUACCAAAUCAGUGACACCAUUGAUCAAACACAAAUAUUGUAGGUUAUGUUCGCAGCUAAAGUUAUUUAGCAAUUCAAAUUUUUCAAAGAACAUGUCGAAUUAAAGAACAAAUAAUUUUAACCAUUAAAUAAUGUUGAGUGCUAUGUGGGUUAUGCUGCAUCGAAAAUAAUAUUACCUAAAACAUGUAACUUCUCAGUAUAUACUUUGGAAAAAAACAAAUUGUUAGGAGAAAUAAAAAGGAACUACCAGAAGUGAAAUAAAUAAGUGAACAUGUUUAAAAACACAUUUCAAAGUGGGUUUUUAUCAAUUUUGUAUAGCAUUGGCAGCAAGCCUCUACAAAUUUGGGAUAAGAAAGUAAGAAAUGGACACAUAAAACGAAUUACAGACAAUGAUAUACAAAGUUUAGUACUGGAAAUAUUGGGUAGCAAUGUCAGUACCACAUAUAUUACCUGCCCUGCAGAUCCAAGAAAAACUUUAGGAAUAAAGUUACCAUUUUUGGUCAUGAUAAUUAAGAAUUUAAAGAAAUAUUUUACAUUUGAGGUUCAGGUAAUUGAUGAUAAAAAUGUACGCCGUAGAUUUCGUGCUAGUAAUUACCAAUCUACAACUAGAGUAAAACCAUUUAUUUGUACAAUGCCAAUGAGAUUAGACGAUGGAUGGAAUCAAAUCCAAUUUAACUUAGCUGACUUCACUAGACGUGCAUAUGGAACCAAUUAUGUAGAAACAUUAAGAGUUCAAAUUCAUGCAAAUUGUAGAAUACGAAGAGUAUACUUCUCUGAUAGAUUAUAUUCUGAAGAUGAGUUGCCUGCUGAAUUCAAGUUAUUUUUACCAAUUCAAAAUAAAGCUAAAUGUUAGGACAAUGUUAAUAUUUAAUAAAUAUAUUCUUUUACAUAUACGUAACAGUAGAUUGUUUCGAUAUCAACGACUAUACCCCACCAUUGUCAGAAGGAGGUAUGCCAAGAGAUUCCGAGGAAGCAAAUGGGGAGCAAUAUUUUAGGAUACAACUUGUUAAGAAAAAUUGAUAUUCCGCACCAACUUUACUUCAGUGGUUUAAUAUGUUUUUAAUAAUUAACACAUUGAAGGAAAAUUAAUCAAUGGUUUAUAGGUAUCUGUAAAAUAUAAAGUAUUUCCAGGAUUGGGUAAUGUAGUAAUUGAGUCUAGUGCUGAUUUGAUAGAUGUCGCUAGAAGACUAAAAUUUGGCAAGUGACAGUAAAUGGCGCGAAAAAUUAUUCGGUACGACAUAAUUUUAUUACUGUA
RNA transcript from Osmia lignaria (orchard mason bee), 2275 nucleotides. It is a transcript of the gene named cilia- and flagella-associated protein 20, with no coding region annotated. Lineage: Eukaryota; Metazoa; Arthropoda; Insecta; Hymenoptera; Megachilidae. The record is from RefSeq and is a predicted model, not a curated record.